CUGCCAGGCGCACCUCCCUGGGGUGGGGGGCGGGAGAGGGAGGAGACAGGGUGGACCAGGCCGCGCUGGGCGCGUGGGGGCAGGGGGGAGUCAGGCGUUCGUCACCGGGGGUCACUGACCCCUCCGAGGGGCGGCUGCUCAGAAAGCCUGGACUCUUUCCCGGCCGUGAGUGGAUCAAGUUUUCUUGUCCCAAGGGAGCUGAGAACCCCCUUCAGCAAAUCUCUGUGGAACACAUCCCACGGUCAAGGACUGCUCUAUAUCCAGCAAGACAAGGCCCUUCUCACCCUGCCCUCCAGAGGUUAAGUGGGAGCAACCAGACAAUAACGGGCCUCUGAAAGCACAGAGGACCACCUACGGCCAGUACCCCGAGGUGUGGAUGAAACUGCUGACUCCCGGACUGCGACCCAGCUCUUCUGAAUUCAAAGCCUGAAGACAGCCUUGGAAUCUGAAUAACCGCCUCCUCAGGUGACUCUGAGACCUCUCGCAGCCGCCUUCAGGGCAGACAAGCCUGGAUGCUCCUUUUGUCGUGAGACAGCGCAUUUCCUCUUUGUACCUUAACUAAGCCAAAGCUGGGAAAUCAGCAGGGAGGGAAGGUUCCGAGCUCGCGGGCCUGUAGGCGGCAAGCAUGGACAAGUGCAGCCCUUCCCUCUCCCUGAGCUGGAGGACGGCAGGGCCAAGGGAGGAGGAGGAGGAGGAGGAUGCUCCUUCCCCCCAGCACUGAGCCCUCCCAGCUGUGCUGUGCUGGGAACAGGCCAGGCGUUUGUGAAAUCCUCGGGUGAGCCUGACCCACUGUCAUGAGGACUUGCCUGUGGAAGCUGGUGCCGGGAGGGGGAUGGGGGGCUGUUCCCAGAAGCGGGUAGAACUCUGGACUUCCCACUCCUGAGCGCUCUGAUUGCAGCACAGCCUUAAGCAACAGUAGCGGCCUGGAAGGCUGGGCUGCAGGCUGGAAGGCCGGGAUGCAGCCUGGAAGGAAGGCUGGGCUGCAGGCUGGAACACUGGGUUGUAGGCUUCAGGCUUUUUUUCAGAAAAGAAAUUAGGGUUCUGAAUGCUAAGACUUUGGGCUCUUCCAGUUAACACCAUCACUGCCGGUAUUCACAGCACUAUUCAGGCCCAGCCUCAGGAAAAGACUGCAAACCCAGAUAUAAAAAAUAAAAAUAAAUAAAAAACAGCCAGGCGUGGUGGCUCACGCCUGUAAUCCUAGCACUUUGGGAGGUCAAGUCGGGCAGAUCACGAGGUCAGGAGAUUGAGCCCAUCCUGGCUAACACGGUGAAACCCCGUCUCUCCUAAAAAUGCAAAAAAUUAGCCUGGUGUGGUGGCGGGCACCUGUAGUCCCAGCUACUCGGGAGGCUGAGGCAGGAGAAUGGCGU
This 1367-nucleotide long non-coding RNA is filed under the name Pan troglodytes (chimpanzee). RNAcentral describes it as "long non-coding RNA NONPTRT007358". The record is from RNAcentral. Lineage: Eukaryota; Metazoa; Chordata; Mammalia; Primates; Hominidae.